Salvia splendens (bonfire salvia) is the source of this 915-nucleotide long non-coding RNA. RefSeq lists it as uncharacterized. NCBI's taxonomy places the organism in Eukaryota, Viridiplantae, Streptophyta, Magnoliopsida, Lamiales, Lamiaceae. The record is from RefSeq and is a predicted model, not a curated record. The transcript is spliced from 3 exons.
UCCAAAUUCUUGAAUUGGAUAUGGAUUAGGCCAAAGAAGCUGGAGAAAUUCCUGAGACAGCAAGGUUCCCAUGGAAAUUCUUACAAGCUUUUCCAUGGAGACUUAACAGAAAUGAAGGCGGCUACGAGAGAAGCCAUGUCCAUACCCAUCAACUUCUCCAACGAUAUUUUUCCUAGAGCCAGUCCCUUCUACCACAAAGCUUUACAAAAAUACGGUGAGAAUUGCUUUGUCUGGUUUGGGCCAAGACCCGCGGUCUUAAUCUCCGAAGAAUUAUGUUUUUCGAGAGAUCAUGUCGAAGAAUUAUGUUUUUCCGAAGCCUCAUGGAAGACCGGUUAAACGACUGAUCGCAAGAGGGUUGGCCUCGCUUGAGGCCGACAAAUGGAGCAAGCACAGAAAGCUCAUUAAUCCGGCGUUCCAUGUCGACAAAUUGAAGCAUAUGGUUCCAUCUUUCUACUUGAGCUGUGGUGAUAUGUUGAGCAAAUGGGAUGAGAUUGUGGGAAAUGAAGGAUGUUGCGAAGUGGAUGUGUUGCCUCAUCUUCAGACAAUGACGAGUGAUGUGAUUUCAAGAACUGCGUUCGGGAGUAGCUGCGAGGAAGGGAGGAAGAUAUCGCGUCUACAAAGCGAGCAAACGAAGCGUACCGUGGGAGAGGAUCGAUCUAUCCACAUCCCGGGAUACAGGUGAUGCAUGCAUGUAUGUAUACAUAUAAGGGCAUCUUUAACGGGGUGCGUAUCAUUUUACACGGGGUGCACAUGCGUCGUUGCAUCUUGUGUACAUGCGCGCAACGUUUUACACGCAGUUUGGGGUAGAAAAUACACAGCCGUGCACAAUACGGGGGCGAUGAUGCGAAGGAGUUCAAGCCGGAGAGGUUUGGGGAUAUUGGCGUGGCAAAGGGGGCGUAUUUUCCCUUCGGGUGG